This 497-nucleotide ribosomal RNA is filed under the name uncultured bacterium. RNAcentral describes it as "partial 16S ribosomal RNA". It matches the Rfam family "Bacterial small subunit ribosomal RNA", at positions 28 to 507 of the family's 1533-position model. The record is from RNAcentral.
GAUGAACGCUGGCGGCGUGCCUAAUACAUGCAAGUCGAGCGAACGGACGAGAAGCUUGCUUCUCUGAUGUUAGCGGCGGACGGGUGAGUAACACGUGGAUAACCUACCUAUAAGACUGGGAUAACUUCGGGAAACCGGAGCUAAUACCGGAUAAUAUUUUGAACCGCAUGGUUCAAAAGUGAAAGACGGUCUUGCUGUCACUUAUAGAUGGAUCCGCGCUGCAUUAGCUAGUUGGUAAGGUAACGGCUUACCAAGGCAACGAUGCAUAGCCGACCUGAGAGGGGUGUUCGGCACCCCGGAACUUAGAAACGGGCCAGACUCCCACGGGAGGCCGCAGUAGGGAAUCCUUCGCAAAUGGCGAAAGCCUGACGGAGCAACGCCGCGUGAGUGAUGAAGGUCUUCGGAUCGUAAAACUCUGUUAUUAGGGAAGAACAUAUGUGUAAGUAACUGUGCACAUCUUGACGGUACCUAAUCAGAAAGCCACGGCUAACUACGUG